GCAUCCAUAGCUCAGUCGGUAGAGCAGUUGCCUCUUAAGCAAACGGUCGUAGGUUCGAAUCCUACUGGGUGCA
Molecule: transfer RNA, 73 nt
Filed under: Candidatus Moraniibacteriota bacterium
Lineage: Bacteria; Candidatus Moraniibacteriota
Description: tRNA-Lys
Rfam family: tRNA
About the family: Transfer RNA (tRNA) molecules are approximately 80 nucleotides in length.
Source: RNAcentral